Molecule: long non-coding RNA, 702 nt
Organism: Peromyscus leucopus (white-footed mouse)
Lineage: Eukaryota; Metazoa; Chordata; Mammalia; Rodentia; Cricetidae
Exons: 3
Source: RefSeq, a predicted model, not a curated record
GGAAAGAUGAAACAGAUAGGCCAUGAUCCAUAGCAGCCUUAAGCCAGAAGACAGCUUAAAGAGACACACGCUGGAGUCACAGACUCUACAAGGCAAAAAUAGCACAAUGCAGAGAAAAUCACUGCUCCUUUAUCUCACAAGGUAAUGCUCCAGUUCCUUGCCCUGUCUUGUACAGACUUCACUUUUGGAUCCAGAGAAAAACUCAAUCUUACUUCAGUUGACUAGGGCCUUUUGCCACAAAUGAAACAUAGAAGAAAGUCAGCGUGUCCUGAGGAUUAAUUCGAGGUCGGAAGAUCGGAAGAACUUGGUGGUGACAGACUAGCUUAUUAAAAAGCCCGCUCAAUGGACUGACUGCCGCUGACGGCCUAACCUGGCAGGAGCGCAGGAGACCAGCGCACAAUCAGUGGACUGUACUUCUCUGGGGACAGCAGGGCACCCAGGAGCCUUUUCUAAUUUGUCAAAGUUGUAUCUAAUUCCACAGAACAAAGUUCAUGACGAGAUGAGCAGAAGCCACAAAUCAUUUCUCAUUCACCAGCCCUUGAUGGAAUGAUAGGAACAGCCUACAGCUAGGGUUCUGUGAAGUAACUCGACGCCUGCCAGUCGGCUUUGGGUAAUUCUGCCUUUCGGGUAUAACAGCUUCCUUGUUUUUUAUUUAAUAGGAUUAAUCUUCAGAAUAUUAAAAAAGAUACCAUCAGCAUCUUU